AAAACCGGUUGUGUUUUGUUUUGUCAUUGUUUUGUUUUGUUUCGGCUCGGGAAUGUUUCGAUAUCGUUGAUCGAGAGUUUUUACGUAUAUACGGUCUUAUAAGCGGAACGUUGCUAUACAUAUCAUGGUAUCAACGACGGCCAGAAGAAAUUACCGGUGCCAAACGAUCUAAUGAUCUCCUGCUCCGGUUGCGCAUACACUUCCGCAAUAACAACUCCCGGAACAACAGCUCGAGGAUGCAACUACUCAAAAACACCGUGCUGCGUUCCAGCUUAUCAAUGUGUCGUCGGAUUUUAACAUCUACCGCGGCGAUAAGGAGAGACCAUUAUGCACAAAAUGCCAAUCGAAGAAAGUAUCAUCUGGGCGUUUCUGUAUUCCAUGUAUUCCCGAAGAACAUUGUCUGUUUCCGGCCCACCAGACUGCUCGAUCAGGAUUACGAGAUCCGAUGAAUUUCCACUACAAGAGUAUACCGAGCGAAUGAUGAUAAACUCUGUCACUGACCGCUUGUUUGGGAUUUCAUCUGUCGCAUUGACAUGCUUGGAAAACGACAACCUGAUCAACAUGCGAUCUCACUUUCUACCGAUAAUUCAAGCUUCGGAAACAUGCAGAUUUUUGCUGGAUCAGCACUUCAAUUUUAAUGGAUCUGGUAACUAAAUCAUGUUGGGAUAUAGUGGUUUUAAGUGGAAUCGGAUAACAAUUGUGAACCAAUUCCUUCGGGAGUACCAAACUCAAUAUUAUCAUCGUAAAGUUGCCAAUCGAUCAGCGAAACCGCCUGGCACCCGUUACAGUACAUGAGAAUCAUUGUUACCUAAGACAAUUCUAACCAGGACGACCAUUUGACUGGCAAAGGAAUGAGCAUCAUCACCACCAUCAAGAAGAAGAUAUUGAAAAAUAAUAUUCUGCCUGAAAUAUGAGCGAUUUGUUACCGGAAGUAGCUUUUAGAUUAGUUUAGAAGUAAUAACUAAAGAGUAUCUAAUAUUAAAAUGGAAAUUUAGGGUCUCGGGGGGAUGCAACUUGCAUCAUGCAAGUGUUAAAGUAAUUAAGUUAUAGUUAAGUACACCAAAUAACUCAUGAUACCUCAAUAAUUUUUAAAAAUUACAAUGUUUAAGCGUGUUUCAUAAAAAUCAUUAUUUGAGCACUUGCACGUCUCUGAUCCUAAGCGCAGCAAUUAAGAUACACUUAUUAUGGUGGAACUUGGAUAUUGUAGUUUAGAUAGAUAUAUUUAUUCUUCUUUAUAAAUACACACACAUGGCUGGCUAAAGGUUUCAUCAAAUGUAUUAGAGUUUAUAAUAAAUGUCCAAUAU
Molecule: long non-coding RNA, 1304 nt
Organism: Uranotaenia lowii
Lineage: Eukaryota; Metazoa; Arthropoda; Insecta; Diptera; Culicidae
Exons: 5
Source: RefSeq, a predicted model, not a curated record